CUGUCAGGGUUCAGCUGUGUCUCGAUGUCAACUCGGCAGAUUGGACACUUCCUGCUGGUGGCCAGCCAUUGGUCCACGCAGCCCUGGUGGAAGAGGUGCAUGCAGGGCAGUCUCCUGGAGGACAGAGAGACAGAGAGACACACGGGGUCACAGUGUGGCUUCACACUGGCAAGCAUGACUCUCCCAGUGCAUACAGUUAUGUGCUUGCAAAGAACUUCGUAAAACCUGCAGGGACUUAAUUUUGUUCAUUCAGGCAUGUAGAGAGGACUUCUGUUGACUCAUCAGCCCAACACGCCUCUCAGACAGCUGAGACUCCAUAUGCUGUAAACGGACUCUUUCUUCAUCCCAGGGCACUGCCCUUUAUCCCCCGGAAUUCACCCCCCAACUUGGGUUUAAAUGCAUGUAAAAACUGAAGUGUCACUGUAACCAAAGUCUAGAUGUAUCAGGAGUUUGUGUUGGACUAUUUCUUGGCUGCGACAAGCACUGGUUGCCUGACAGCUCCUCAGAACAAAGAAACAGUCCUCACAUAUACUCUCCUGAAAACUGUGAUUUUUACACUUUGGUUUUUAGACAGUACAUGGAUUUUGUUACUCCCAUCUAACUCUGCACCAGAAACCGAAUCAGAUUCAGAAGAGUCGGAUUCUGGGGCUAUGGACUAUUUCUGACCUGACAUCCUCUCCGUCCUCCAGCAUGGACAAACAGAUGGUACAUUUCUCAUCCACAUCUGUUUCCUCCUCCUCCCCAAUCUUCAGCUGCAGGGGCUUUCUCUGACAAAAGGUGAAUCUCUCUAUGGUUGUCUGAACAGCUCCUCUGCUGACACUCCCCAGCCGAUCCUCCAGCUGCAACAGCUCCUGACGAAAAAGCAGAGUAGAAUAAAAUAGAAUUCUAUGUAUCGGCUACUAAAUGGACAUCGUUCUAUCAACUGCUGCUUGAAAGGUCAGGAAUGAACUUUUAACCUCAAAUGUUAAUCCAACAAGGAUGAGAAGCCCCUUAAGUGCUAAAGAGACUGGAAAUUUUAACGUCGACAUUUCCGUGACAACUGCGCAAACUCCAUCUGCUGAUGAAGAUCAUGUGACAUGACUGACAGCUCCAGAACAGCCACCAAAUGGAACAUAAAGUGAGACUGCUGGUCAGCUAGCCUAGAGCAGUAUGGACAAAGUUAAGGCUCUCUGAAACACGCAAUAAAAAUGCAGAUGUGAUGGCACAGUGACACAAAGUGUGAAAGUUUGUUUAAAGAAAAAAAAAAAACAAGACAGCUUUGAUGGAUGGAUGGGUGGAAAGUAGGUGAAAUGUAUUUAGAGAUAUAUUUACCUCAUAACUUUCUCGCACAGCGGUGGCAUGCCUUGAAGGAUUCAGACUCUGCAGUGCCAACAGGUGCAGCUGGGGGUACGGGUAGUUUCUGAUUUCAUGCACAACCUAGCAAAAGAGAACUCUUCAUCAUAUUACAGCGCCGUUAAUCCUGCAGCUAAAUACCUUUUUUUUUUUUUUCUCUCUGUUGUUUUGAGGAAAAUGAUUAUGGAAGUCAUAAUAAAUCUGAAUUUAGCGCUGUGUUAAAUGUUUGCAGAACAUGCUGUUUAUGUGAUGCUUGUGUGAAAAGUAAAGAGAUCUGUGUGAAAAGAGCAAAUUAUUAUGAGUUAAAGGGGAACGACACUAAUUUUACACAUAACAGUCUGCUUACAGGUCUUAGGGGAGUAUAUGCACAUAUGUGAAAAAAAGUUGUAUAAGGCUGUUUGUGCCUCCGGAUAGAUUUGUGUAAAGUUUGAUGAACUGUUUUUUCAUAGCAUAUUUACUUCAAGUUGCGUCGUGGGUAAUGUAGGCGCCAGGUUCUGACAAGGAGGCGGA
Xiphias gladius (swordfish) is the source of this 1842-nucleotide long non-coding RNA. RefSeq lists it as uncharacterized. The record is from RefSeq and is a predicted model, not a curated record. The transcript is spliced from 3 exons. Lineage: Eukaryota; Metazoa; Chordata; Actinopteri; Istiophoriformes; Xiphiidae.